This 490-nucleotide ribosomal RNA is filed under the name uncultured bacterium. RNAcentral's name for it is "partial 16S ribosomal RNA". It matches the Rfam family "Bacterial small subunit ribosomal RNA", at positions 28 to 507 of the family's 1533-position model. The record is from RNAcentral.
GAUGAACGCUAGCUACAGGCUUAACACAUGCAAGUCGCGGGGCAGCAUGGGGGUUGCUUGCAAUCCCCGAUGGCGACCGGCGCACGGGUGAGUAACGCGUAUCCAACCUGCCCUUCACCACGGGAUAACCCGGCGAAAGUCGGACUAAUACCGUAUGUUGUCCAUUGACGGCAUCCGAUUUGGACGAAAGGUUUGGCGGUGAAGGAUGGGGAUGCGUCCGAUUAGCUGGACGGCGGGGUGACGGCCCACCGUGGCGACGAUCGGUAGGGGUUCUGAGAGGAAGGUCCCCCACACUGGAACUGAGACACGGUCCAGACUCCUACGGGAGGCAGCAGUGAGGAAUAUUGAUCAAUGGGCGUAAGCCUGAACCAGCCAAGUAGCGUGCAGGAUGACGGCCCUAUGGGUUGUAAACUGCUUUUAUGCAGGGAUAAAGUGGCCCACGUGUGGGUUUUUGCAGGUACCGCAUGAAUAAGGACCGGCUAAUUCCGUG